CUGGAGUGUGCCGAGAACCAGGGUGAC
This 27-nucleotide non-coding RNA is filed under the name Homo sapiens (human). The record is from RNAcentral. Lineage: Eukaryota; Metazoa; Chordata; Mammalia; Primates; Hominidae.